AUGACAUUCCAGUUGAUGACUGCAACCAAACACACCCUUAGUGACGGAGACUUGCCUGAAUGUUAUUUUCCUCCGCGUGAAGUGCUUACAAUUCUCAAAGGCUUCAACAAGUCCCGGAGGAGAUUGACAAGGUGCAGGCAAGAUCUCAAGUUCAUUGCUGUCUUUGUCUGUCUGAACAUUUUCUUAUUUGGAGUUGCAGCCGAUUUAUGGUGUAUCAACCGACUUGGCUUAGGAUGUAUUGUAGUUAGUUUGGUUGCAUCAAUCAACAAGUCUUAUUAUGUAUUGCUAUUGGUUUGGUACCAUCAAACGACUGGCCAGUUGGAAAAUCAGCGGGGAAAACAUGUACUGUAA
Molecule: ribosomal RNA, 351 nt
Filed under: Triticum aestivum (bread wheat)
Lineage: Eukaryota; Viridiplantae; Streptophyta; Magnoliopsida; Poales; Poaceae
Description: partial small subunit ribosomal RNA
Source: RNAcentral